Molecule: ribosomal RNA, 720 nt
Filed under: Martinezella multihospitum
Lineage: Bacteria; Pseudomonadati; Pseudomonadota; Alphaproteobacteria; Hyphomicrobiales; Rhizobiaceae
Description: bacterial SSU rRNA
Rfam family: Bacterial small subunit ribosomal RNA
Source: RNAcentral
CCUUUUGCUACGGAAUAACGCAGGGAAACUUGUGCUAAUACCGUAUGUGUCCUUCGGGAGAAAGAUUUAUCGGCAAGAGAUGAGCCCGCGUUGGAUUAGCUAGUUGGUGGGGAAAAGGCCUACCAAGGCGACGAUCCAUAGCUGGUCUGAGAGGAUGAUCACCCACAUUGGGACUGAGACACGGCCCAAACUCCUACGGGAGGCAGCAGUGGGGAAUAUUGGACAAUGGGCGCAAGCCUGAUCCAGCCAUGCCGCGUGAGUGAUGAAGGCCCUAGGGGUGUAAAGCUCUUUCACCGGAGAAGAUAAUGACGGUAUCCGGAGAAGAAGCCCCGGCUAACUUCGUGCCAGCAGCCGCGGAAAUACGAAGGGGGCUAGCGUUGUUCGGAAUUACUGGGCGAAAAGCGCACGGAGGCGGAUCGAUCAGUCGGGGGUGAAAUCCCAGGCCUCAACCCUGAAACUGCCUUUGAUACUGUCGAUCUGGAGUAUGUAAGAGGUGAGUGUAAUUCCGAGAGUAGAGGCGAAAUUCGUAGAUAUUCGGAGGAACACUGGUGGCGAAGGCGGCUCACUGCCCCAUUACUGACGCUGAGGUGUGAAAGCGUGGAGAGCAAACAGGAUUAGAUACGCUGGCACUCCACGCUGUAAACCAUGAAUGUUAGCCGUCGAGCAGUAUACUGUUCUCUGCCGCAGCUAUCGCACUAAUCAUUCCGACUGUGGAGUCUG